CAUUAACCUGCUGUAUUGUAGAUAAAAUAAAGAAACCCCUUUGUGAACUAUUCCAAAGGUCAAAUGUAAAAAUGGAGUUCCACUAUGGCAGUAAGGGGUGCAGGGCAUGAGUAAUUGGAUGCAUAUAAGAACAAAUUACAAUAUAUGGAUAUGAAUAUGCAAGGAGCAGAUUUACAGAAAUUUUCGAUCAGAACCAAUGAACUGUUCCUGAAAGCCAGAGGAAGAAUUAUGUUUAUAACUCUUCGAUAACAUGACACUGACUGCCUGAUCAUUUUCUAAGAACAAUUGAAACACUAAAAUUCAUAAAAUUUAAUAUACUUAUCAUUGUA
Long non-coding RNA from Mytilus californianus (California mussel), 329 nucleotides. RefSeq lists it as uncharacterized. The transcript has 2 exons. NCBI's taxonomy places the organism in Eukaryota, Metazoa, Mollusca, Bivalvia, Mytilida, Mytilidae. The record is from RefSeq and is a predicted model, not a curated record.